GGAUUUCGGCGCAAAACC
RNAcentral lists this small nuclear RNA (18 nucleotides) under Arabidopsis thaliana (thale cress). RNAcentral describes it as "snRNA_04569". Lineage: Eukaryota; Viridiplantae; Streptophyta; Magnoliopsida; Brassicales; Brassicaceae. The record is from RNAcentral.